GAUGAAGAACGUAGCGAAAUGCGAUAAGUAAUGUGAAUUGCAGAAUUCAGUGAAUCAUCGAAUCUUUGAACGCACAUUGCGCCCCUUGGUAUUCCGGGGGCAUGCCUGUUCGAGCGUCAUUUCAACCCUCAAGCUUCUGCUUGGUCUUGGGCCGUGCCGGCAACGGCUGGCCUUAAAACUAGUGGCGGUGCCAUCGAGCUCUACGCGUAGUAAUUCUAUCUCGCGUCUGGGCUUCGGUGGACGCUGGCCAGCAACCCCCAAUUUUCUAUGGUUGACCUCGGAUCAGGUAGGGAUACCCGCUGAACUUAAGCAUAUCAAUAAGCGGAGGA
This 329-nucleotide unclassified non-coding RNA is filed under the name soil metagenome. RNAcentral's name for it is "partial contains 5.8S ribosomal RNA, internal transcribed spacer 2, and large subunit ribosomal RNA". The stretch from base 1 to 119 matches the Rfam family "5.8S ribosomal RNA", at positions 35 to 154 of the family's 154-position model. The record is from RNAcentral.